AACGCGAAGAACCUUACCUAAGCUUGACAUCCUUUUGACCUCUCCCUAAUCGGAGAUUUCCCUUCGGGGACAGAAGUGACAGGUGGUGCAUGGUUGUCGUCAGCUCGUGUCGUGAGAUGUUGGGUUAAGUCCCGCAACGAGCGCAACCCUUGCCUUUAGUUGCCAGCAUUAAGUUGGGCACUCUAGAGGGACUGCCAGGGAUAACCUGGAGGAAGGUGGGGAUGACGUCAAAUCAUCAUGCCCCUUAUGCUUAGGGCUACACACGUGCUACAAUGGGUGGUACAGAGGGCAGCCAAGUCGUGAGGCGGAGCUAAUCCCUUAAAGCCAUUCUCAGUUCGGAUUGUAGGCUGAAACUCGCCUACAUGAAGCUGGAGUUACUAGUAAUCGCAGAUCAGAAUGCUGCGGUGAAUGCGUUCCCGGGUCUUGUACACACCG
Molecule: ribosomal RNA, 435 nt
Filed under: uncultured bacterium
Lineage: Bacteria
Description: bacterial SSU rRNA
Rfam family: Bacterial small subunit ribosomal RNA
Source: RNAcentral